CGCUGUGCUUAACCGGCCAUUAACCUUUCCGGUCCACGAAUAGGGAUAUCCAGAUUGUCUGGAUCCUGAGUGGGAACUCUUGUCCACUCUGUUUGAUGCCUCCCUGUAGACUCGUGACAAGCCGCUCUCUGGAGCGGCUUCUUUUUU
Molecule: small RNA, 147 nt
Filed under: Paramagnetospirillum magnetotacticum
Lineage: Bacteria; Pseudomonadati; Pseudomonadota; Alphaproteobacteria; Rhodospirillales; Magnetospirillaceae
Description: Magnetospirillum magnetotacticum Alphaproteobacterial sRNA BjrC1505
Rfam family: Alphaproteobacterial sRNA BjrC1505
Source: Rfam by way of RNAcentral